GCCAUGUGUAAAUUUACAACAAAUCUAUGGCUUCCAUGAAUUAUUUCGAUUCUAAUAGGACAAAUACGAUCAUUAAAAAACUGAAGCGAUGAUGCGUAUACCGUGUGUGUGGCUGUUCUAUUUUACCCACUGUUCGAUAAAUGUAAAACAAAUUUAAUAAACCUGCAUGAAUGAUUUCUUAACUAACCGCUAGAAAAAAAAAAUGUGAUUCCUUUUGUUACUUCUCAGUAAACCCAACAUUUGCAAUUUUAAAUUUACAUUUUUUAUCGUAAGCUACCGUCAAAUUCACUGUUGACAUGUUGUAACCAAGGAGCCGCCAUGUUGACUUGCUGAAAUCAGUAAAU
This 344-nucleotide long non-coding RNA is filed under the name Mytilus galloprovincialis (Mediterranean mussel). Lineage: Eukaryota; Metazoa; Mollusca; Bivalvia; Mytilida; Mytilidae. The record is from RNAcentral.